GAGUAUAGCUCAAUGGUAGAGCAUUUGCCUAGCAUGCAUUAGGCCCUGGGUUCAAUCCUCAGAACCA
This 67-nucleotide transfer RNA is filed under the name Marmota monax (woodchuck). Its description in RNAcentral is "tRNA.Ala". The stretch from base 6 to 62 matches the Rfam family "tRNA", at positions 8 to 63 of the family's 71-position model. Rfam says of the family: Transfer RNA (tRNA) molecules are approximately 80 nucleotides in length. Their secondary structure includes four short double-helical elements and three loops (D, anti-codon, and T loops). Further hydrogen bonds mediate the characteristic L-shaped molecular structure. tRNAs have two regions of fundamental functional importance: the anti-codon, which is responsible for specific mRNA codon recognition, and the 3' end, to which the tRNAs corresponding amino acid is attached (by aminoacyl-tRNA synthetases). tRNAs cope with the degeneracy of the genetic code in two manners: having more than one tRNA (with a specific anti-codon) for a particular amino acid; and 'wobble' base-pairing, i.e. permitting non-standard base-pairing at the 3rd anti-codon position. The record is from RNAcentral. Lineage: Eukaryota; Metazoa; Chordata; Mammalia; Rodentia; Sciuridae.